GACGUGCUAAUCUGCGAUAAGCGUCGGUAAGGUGAUAUGAACCGUUAUAACCGGCGAUUUCCGAAUGGGGAAACCCAGUGUGAUUCGUCACACUAUCAUUAACUGAAUCCAUAGGUUAAUGAGGCGAACCGGGGGAACUGAAACAUCUAAGUACCCCGAGGAAAAGAAAUCAACCGAGAUUCCCCCAGUAGCGGCGAGCGAACGGGGAGCAGCCCAGAGCCUGAAUCAGUGUGUGUGUUAGUGGAAGCGUCUGGAAAGGCGUGCGAUACAGGGUGACAGCCCCGUACACAAAAAUGCACAUACUGUGAGCUCGAUGAGUAGGGCGGGACACGUGGUAUCCUGUCUGAAUAUGGGGGGACCAUCCUCCAAGGCUAAAUACUCCUGACUGACCGAUAGUGAACCAGUACCGUGAGGGAAAGGCGAAAAGAACCCCGGCGAGGGGAGUGAAAAAGAACCUGAAACCGUGUACGUACAAGCAGUGGGAGCACGCUUAGGCGUGUGACUGCGUACCUUUUGUAUAAUGGGUCAGCGACUUAUAUUCUGUAGCAAGGUUAACCGAAUAGGGGAGCCGAAGGGAAACCGAGUCUUAACUGGGCGUUAAGUUGCAGGGUAUAGACCCGAAACCCGGUGAUCUAGCCAUGGGCAGGUUGAAGGUUGGGUAACACUAACUGGAGGACCGAACCGACUAAUGUUGAAAAAUUAGCGGAUGACUUGUGGCUGGGGGUGAAAGGCCAAUCAAACCGGGAGAUAGCUGGUUCUCCCCGAAAGCUAUUUAGGUAGCGCCUCGUGAAUUCAUCUCCGGGGGUAGAGCACUGUUUCGGCAAGGGGGUCAUCCCGACUUACCAACCCGAUGCAAACUGCGAAUACCGGAGAAUGUUAUCACGGGAGACACACGGCGGGUGCUAACGUCCGUCGUGAAGAGGGAAACAACCCAGACCGCCAGCUAAGGUCCCAAAGUCAUGGUUAAGUGGGAAACGAUGUGGGAAGGCCCAGACAGCCAGGAUGUUGGCUUAGAAGCAGCCAUCAUUUAAAGAAAGCGUAAUAGCUCACUGGUCGAGUCGGCCUGCGCGGAAGAUGUAACGGGGCUAAACCAUGCACCGAAGCUGCGGCAGCGACGCUUAUGCGUUGUUGGGUAGGGGAGCGUUCUGUAAGCCUGUGAAGGUGUGCUGUGAGGUAUGCUGGAGGUAUCAGAAGUGCGAAUGCUGACAUAAGUAACGAUAAAGCGGGUGAAAAGCCCGCUCGCCGGAAGACCAAGGGUUCCUGUCCAACGUUAAUCGGGGCAGGGUGAGUCGACCCCUAAGGCGAGGCCGAAAGGCGUAGUCGAUGGGAAACAGGUUAAUAUUCCUGUACUUGGUGUUACUGCGAAGGGGGGACGGAGAAGGCUAUGUUGGCCGGGCGACGGUUGUCCCGGUUUAAGCGUGUAGGCUGGUUUUCCAGGCAAAUCCGGAAAAUCAAGGCCGAGGCGUGAUGACGAGGCACUACGGUGCUGAAGCAACAAAUGCCCUGCUUCCAGGAAAAGCCUCUAAGCAUCAGGUAACAUCAAAUCGUACCCCAAACCGACACAGGUGGUCAGGUAGAGAAUACCAAGGCGCUUGAGAGAACUCGGGUGAAGGAACUAGGCAAAAUGGUGCCGUAACUUCGGGAGAAGGCACGCUGAUACGUAGGUGAAGCGACUUGCUCGUGGAGCUGAAAUCAGUCGAAGAUACCAGCUGGCUGCAACUGUUUAUUAAAAACACAGCACUGUGCAAACACGAAAGUGGACGUAUACGGUGUGACGCCUGCCCGGUGCCGGAAGGUUAAUUGAUGGGGUUAGCGCAAGCGAAGCUCUUGAUCGAAGCCCCGGUAAACGGCGGCCGUAACUAUAACGGUCCUAAGGUAGCGAAAUUCCUUGUCGGGUAAGUUCCGACCUGCACGAAUGGCGUAAUGAUGGCCAGGCUGUCUCCACCCGAGACUCAGUGAAAUUGAACUCGCUGUGAAGAUGCAGUGUACCCGCGGCAAGACGGAAAGACCCCGUGAACCUUUACUAUAGCUUGACACUGAACAUUGAGCCUUGAUGUGUAGGAUAGGUGGGAGGCUUUGAAGUGUGGACGCCAGUCUGCAUGGAGCCGACCUUGAAAUACCACCCUUUAAUGUUUGAUGUUCUAACGUGGACCCGUGAUCCGGGUUGCGGACAGUGUCUGGUGGGUAGUUUGACUGGGGCGGUCUCCUCCUAAAGAGUAACGGAGGAGCACGAAGGUUGGCUAAUCCUGGUCGGACAUCAGGAGGUUAGUGCAAUGGCAUAAGCCAGCUUGACUGCGAGCGUGACGGCGCGAGCAGGUGCGAAAGCAGGUCAUAGUGAUCCGGUGGUUCUGAAUGGAAGGGCCAUCGCUCAACGGAUAAAAGGUACUCCGGGGAUAACAGGCUGAUACCGCCCAAGAGUUCAUAUCGACGGCGGUGUUUGGCACCUCGAUGUCGGCUCAUCACAUCCUGGGGCUGAAGUAGGUCCCAAGGGUAUGGCUGUUCGCCAUUUAAAGUGGUACGCGAGCUGGGUUUAGAACGUCGUGAGACAGUUCGGUCCCUAUCUGCCGUGGGCGCUGGAGAACUGAGGGGGGCUGCUCCUAGUACGAGAGGACCGGAGUGGACGCAUCACUGGUGUUCGGGUUGUCAUGCCAAUGGCACUGCCCGGUAGCUAAAUGCGGAAGAGAUAAGUGCUGAAAGCAUCUAAGCACGAAACUUGCCCCGAGAUGAGUUCUCCCUGACCCUUUAAGGGUCCUGAAGGAACGUUGAAGACGACGACGUUGAUAGGCCGGGUGUGUAAGCGCAGCGAUGCGUUGAGCUAACCGGUACUAAUGAACCGUGAGGCUUAACCUU
This 2850-nucleotide ribosomal RNA is filed under the name Escherichia coli. RNAcentral describes it as "partial 23S ribosomal RNA". It matches the Rfam family "Bacterial large subunit ribosomal RNA". Lineage: Bacteria; Pseudomonadati; Pseudomonadota; Gammaproteobacteria; Enterobacterales; Enterobacteriaceae. The record is from RNAcentral. RNAcentral also lists the same sequence under 3 other names.